GCAGCAACACUCCUGCGGGAUUUGGUGCCGGAGAAAUGAAAAAUGUCUUCUGUUCUGUACUUGCAAAGAUAAACAUAAAAAUGUAGGAAGCACUUGUGGCAAGGAUCUUUCUUCAAACAGUUUCCUGCUAAAAUCUUGUGGGAGCUUGUAGGCAGAAAACACACCAUUGCCGUUAUGAUUUCUUCAUAAUAAAACUAUUCCCGGUUGGCGUCUUCACGUCAAAUACUUCCUUUUGAUCCGUUUCUGGAACAGUUUUUGAAACGAAUUAUAUAAUUGAAACAGUUUUAUUCCAGUGUAUCUAUUUAGGAUGCUUUUGUUCUUUAGGUUUAUUGUGUGAGAAAAGAAAAGUCUUCAUCCCUUAACAGCCACAGUAUGUCAUCACAUAAUGACUUUAUUUCAAGAAAUGUACAAGCAUAGCCUGCCCAGUAGUAUACAUGUGAAAUAAUUGUUAUUCACAGCUUCUUAUCCUCUCUGCCGUGUUGUGCACUCCUCUGAUCACCCCGUAUGGCAUAUGCAAUUUGAUACAAUAUGCUAAGUAAUAGAAAGUCUGUGCUGUAAUUGGCCAAACAACCCAGUGGUGGAGCAUUUAAAAGGCUAAAGCUUGGGGAAAAUGAAAAGCGAGUGAUUAUUCCAGGGCUUGUGGUAAAUGAACCUCAUAACGAGCAAGGCGGAGUGGUAGACAAUUGGGAACGCUCCGAUUGGAAAACAAAGCAUUGGAAGGCAGGCCUGUGGUGCCUCGAAUAGAAAUAAAACACUAUUAGGGUAUUGAGUAGACCUUGGUUUGGCAUUGUAGUCUAGUUAGACGGUGUAAAGACUGGAGGCAAUAUUUUUAACGCCACAUAAUCUACUGCAGAGAACAUAAAUGGGAAAAACUGCAUUUUUGAAAUCCUCAUAUACAUAUUCAUAUUCUUAUGCAUAUUCUUUUGCCCUGAAAACUUUCUCCCCGGCCGUACGGAUAGUAUGACCUCUUCACGACCUGUCCUCUGAGGCACAGAGAAAAUACGUGUUUACGGGGGGAAAAUAGCUGUGGAAUAAAUUGGCAGUGUGCAAUCUGCCAUCUGUGCAGGAGCAGUUAUACCAAGGUGAGAGAAAAGAGCUCAUUGAGAGCAGCUGGUUGAAUCCUCUUCUUCCUUCCUGGCAAAAGUACCAUCAGAGCGACGCCGGGAUGCAUCUGAACACUGCAGCCUCCCACGAUGAUGACAACUUGAUGUGAAAAUGGCUUGGCUUUCAACGUGGCCUGUAGUGAUUGGUGAUUGUGGAUCUGCUUGAUGUCUCUUUGUCGCCUGAUUACAUGUUGUGAUUUUCGGAUGUUUUAUGCAAGUAUGCUGAUUCAGACAAGGACCAUUCAACUGCCCUCCUCAAAGGUUGGAGAUUAUGUGUUUGAUUAUGUUUAAAAAUAGCUACAUUUUAUUGUAUUUUGUGUGUGUGUGUGUCCAUAUUGCUUUCUGUUUUAAUAUGGAAACAAGUCAUGCAAGCAGUACAGCUGUCAGUUGGUUCACUACUUUGAAAGAUCUCAAAAACUAUUGUGAAAUUUUAUACAGACAUUCAUGAUCCCUAGAGGAUGAAUUCUAAUGACUUUGUUGAUCUACCCCUGUAUAGUUCUCCUAUUUAUACUGUUUUAUACUGUAUAAUAAUGCAGUAACUAUUUUCACAAUGAAGUGAAGCUAUUCAUGUCAAGUUUUCAAACUGUUCCCCCCUCAAAGAUCUUUGGCGCAUGCAGAUGUCCAGGCGUGCACAGCAUCAGUCUGCUCUCUCCAGUCUUGGCCCGCUUAGUUUUUGGAGGAAGCACAGCAGUGACAUUUACUUGGUACUCACCAAGACUCAAAGGUCAAAACUUGAUUCAGUUCAGGAUCAAAAACACUGAGGCCAUUAAUCUUCUUCAUGUCUGCCAAGUGUUAAACAGUUGAUAAAUGUACAUCAAACAAAAGUCGAUUUUGGCCGGCGGGCUGCCUCUUACACUGAACAUUCAGAUUUGUUUUGAAAUGACUUCUCUGCAAAACAAAUCAAUUGCAGAAUAAGCUCCAGACUAACUUCCUGUUGCGUUCGCUUUUGCUUCGCUGCAUUAAUGACGCGCUUGUCACUUGGUGUUUUAGAGGCAAUCACAUUCCGCAUGACUCACAUCUCGCAAUCAUUCCAUGUGUGUCCAGCAGGAGAAAAAAUUUAACCCCUGCUACACAACUUGAAUAUGUAAAACAAAACCUUAAUAUUGAUAUCUGGCAUUAAUAUUGAUAUCUGCCAGGAGAGACUGUCCUUGUCGAUGACAGCGUUUCAGCAGCAUGAAUUAUUUUCUGUCAUCCAUAACAGAUAGAUGGGAUUUAAAUAGGAAGCGUACAUCAGGACGUGAGGCAGGGGCAGCACCGGCGCUUGACAGUGAUAAGUGUGACAGCCGGGCUGAAUUUGAAUUGCGCGAGCGAUAAAUUAACUCUUAACGCUCCGGGACGGAAGCCAAUCUCUUGGGACUGAUGGCAGAACGGAGCUCAACUUCACCUUUAUCAGCAGGCUCAUAUUUAUGACCAACUGCAAGCUUUGGAGGAAUAUUUGCAUGGCUUGAUUGGUUCUAAUUACAUACACCUGGCACUGCUCACCUGUUUAAAAGAGGCUGGACUGUGACAAUCACUGAGCUGGACACUGAGCAAGACAUCAACUGAAAUGCUUGUGCUUGUGCUUGUGCUUGUGCUUGUGCUUGUGCUUUUCUGCAUCACAAAAGAGUGAAAACACAGUAAAUGUGAACUUCAAAAGACACAUUUAGCCACAUUAGCUGCAUGGUUCUAGGGAUGGUAAUGUUGGUCCACCACGCUGGUCCAGACUGAAAUAUCUCAACAACUAUCACAUGGGUUGGCAUAAAAUCCGAUACAUACAUUCAUUGCCCUCAGAGAAUGAAUUGUAAAAACUUCGAUCCCCUGAUCGUUCAACUAAAGUUUAUGACCAAGUACCUGCAAAACUAAUGAUAAUUCCGUCAGCCUCAGCUGUGCUUUGUGUUUAGUACUAAUUAGCAAAUGUUAGCAUGCUAAACUAAUACUUUAAACAUGGUGAACAUCAUACCUGCUAAAUAUCAACUUGCUAGCAUUCUCAUUGUGAGAAUGUUAGCAUGUUCAUAUAAGCUCAAAGCACUGCUAUGCUAACGAAUAGCCUCACAGAGCCACUAGCAUAGCUGUAGACUCUUAGUUGAUCCAAGAAGUCAGUCUGUAAACAGUGAUGGAUGUUUACAACAGAUAUUUUGGGAAUUCAUUUUACCGUUAGCUUGUGUUUUCUCUUCCAAACACAUCUGACUAAUCUGGGGGUUUGUUUCCAGCCUGUAUGAUCGACUGCUGCGUUCUUGUCUUUUUUUACCCCUUUUCAGCAAAGUCACCAAGUCUCUCUAAAUCUUUGAGUCUAUUGUUAUCAUAACUGACAGAAAAAAUGAGCAAAUUUACACAAAUAAGGUUGAAAUUGUAAUAAAGUGGAAUUUUCCUCUUAACAACUGAAUCUCCACAUGAUGUGAUUGUUAGGUUUUUACACAGUCAUUAUGUUACUCUCAUUCUGUCUGACCUAUAAUCGUCUCAUCUCCCUUGUCAAUUUCUCCCUCUGUCAUUUCUGGACCGAUAAGCUCGCUCUGUUUGCUGUCCUACCGUCUCUCAGACAAAUCCAUGCUGAACACAGGCAUACAGCAAAAAAAUGACAGAAAUCAUGCACAGUGUCAAAGCUAGUUUUACAGAAAAUUAAUCAAACCUCAAGUGUCCAAGAGAUUAAUAGCUGCCAUUAUUCAAGCUCGACUCAAGGUGCUCUGCAUGUGUUGUUUAUGUGAGUGUAUGAAUGUGUCCAUGUGGAUGAAAUACGAGAGAGAUGAAGGAAGAGAAGAAAUGGGUUAUAUUCCCUCCACAGAGACUGAAGCUGAUGAAAGUUUUUAGCAAUAAUCAAACAUCAAAAUCUAUAAAUCAAAGAGCUGUUACUUGGAAAAUGGAGAGAGAGGGGGGCAGGCUGAGGUCAAGAGAGGUUGGGGAGAAAUACAAGGUCAACCUUUGCAUUACAUCAGAGGCUUCCUCCUCACUCCUAUCACUUCCAAUUUACUUAAUUACAGGAGAACUUCUAUCUUCUUCCCUGCGCUCUGGAAGAUAAUCGACAAUGAAAUUAAGUGGCGGUAGGCUCAUUUCAGUGGGGGAUUGUGGAGAAUGUGACGGCUCAGGGCUGAUGGGAGAUAAUCGCAGGACACAAUAACCGCUGCCAAGAGAAUUGCUCUGGGCUUCUUUAAUAACCGUAACCUUGUCUUACACUGUAAGAAAUGUCCAGGCUUAAAGAAAAUGAUGUGGACACAGUCUUCCCAAAGCUGACAAACCUCCUCAAAAUAUAUGCUGCAUUACCAGUGACAACUGCAUCGGUUGCCUGAUCGUUCUCCAAACUGAAGCUGAUCAAGACCCAGCUUGGAAACAGAUGUGGGGAAGGAAGGCUCUCAGAUCUUCUGCUGUUGUCUAUUGAGAGUGACAUACCAACUGAUCAUAACAAGGUCAUUAACAUUCACAAACUCAUGGCCAAAAGAAUUCUCCUUUUAUUUCACCAAUCUUACUCUUCACUUGCCUGACAAGACCAGUUCCAUAGUUCCAUGUUUUUACUACAGAUUUGUUUGAGAAAUAUACAUUUAAAACAUUACCCAUUCCCUGUAUUUUAUUACAGACAUCUUUUCAAAAUAAAUGUUUAAAAAGUACAUUCUUUUUAAUACAGAAGUGUUGUUUUCCUUACAUUCUGAGUCACCACUUAUCAUAUUAAUCUUAACUGGCAAUGUAGCCUUUUUACCAAACAUGCAUCGUUGUUCUAUGCUGAUGGGGGCCCAUUGAAUGUAUCAGGUGUCUUUUAUAU
Molecule: long non-coding RNA, 4830 nt
Organism: Thunnus maccoyii (southern bluefin tuna)
Lineage: Eukaryota; Metazoa; Chordata; Actinopteri; Scombriformes; Scombridae
Exons: 3
Source: RefSeq, a predicted model, not a curated record